GACGAACGCUGGCGGCGUGCUUAACACAUGCAAGUCGAACGGAAAGGCCCUGCUUUUGUGGGGUGCUCGAGUGGCGAACGGGUGAGUAACACGUGAGUAACCUGCCCUUGACUUUGGGAUAACUUCAGGAAACUGGGGCUAAUACCGGAUAGGAGCUCCUGCUGCAUGGUGGGGGUUAGAAAGUUUCGGCGGUUGGGGAUGGACUGGCGGCUUACCAGCUUGUUGGUGGGGUAGUGGCUUACCAAGGCUUUGACGGGUAGCCGGCCUGAGAGGGUGACCGGCCACAUUGGGACUGAGAUACGGCGCAGACUCCUACGGGAGGCAGCAGUGGGGAAUAUUGCACAGUGGGCGGAAGCCUGAUGCAGCAACGCCGCGUGCGGGAUGACGGCCUUCGGGGUGUAAACCGCUUUCGCCUGUGACGAAGCGUGAGUGACGGUAAUGGGUAAAGAAGCACCGGCUAACUACGUG
Molecule: ribosomal RNA, 468 nt
Filed under: uncultured bacterium
Lineage: Bacteria
Description: partial 16S ribosomal RNA
Rfam family: Bacterial small subunit ribosomal RNA
Source: RNAcentral